Molecule: long non-coding RNA, 570 nt
Organism: Sinocyclocheilus rhinocerous
Lineage: Eukaryota; Metazoa; Chordata; Actinopteri; Cypriniformes; Cyprinidae
Exons: 3
Source: RefSeq, a predicted model, not a curated record
GCCAGCACCCUGUCAAUGCCCACAGCCCGCACCGUAGAAGGUACCUGAGGGAACAAAGUGGCAAAGAAUUCACCGGAAAAUGACAUUCGAGUACUUCACAGGAAGGGUUGUUACCUGUAGUAACAGUCUCUCGUCGCCCUCGAUGACUGCCUGGUUCCACUGGAUGACAUCAGAGAAGGGUCAUCCAUGUGUGGGUAAAACCGUUACAACGCUGAAAGAACCCAAUGUUCCCCAUCAGCCCAGCAGAACAAGUCCACGCCGCCUGGCCCUGAGCGAAACCUCCAACGAGAGUGUAAACACGCUUGUAUAAAAGCAUCCAUAUUUCCAUUUAGCAGGAAGUGUGUUUAUUUACUGGAGAGCCAGUGAAAUAAACACUGCUACCGUAUAUCUUUCUGUCUUGGCACCACUCUCAAAGCACUCUGAGAAUUAAGAGCCAAUCCACCAUCUCUCUUUGCCUUGCCUUUCAAUUUUAGAUUUUUCAACAUACAUCAUCUUUGAACAUCCAAACAGAGUGCAUGUUCACAAAUAAAUAAAAAUGACAAUGAGUGCUUGUAUUAAAUUCCUGCAUAG